AAUUAAAAUAAUCUCUGACUUGGCAAUUAUUCUUUUUCUAAUUAUCAAUAUUGUUUUUUUGUAAAAUUUUUCUGGAUAAAUUUUGGAUAAAUUUUUCAACUUUGACACAAUUAAGGUCCGAAUUUGAUAAUUUUCGUUUUUGAUACACGAAAAGGAUAUUUCAUGGCCGUGUGUUUUAUACCUUAGCUAGGAAGGCCGUAAUAUUUAGAGAUGUGUCACCGCGAGAUAUCCUCUUAUCGCUGCGUUACCAUAGUUACGACUGAUAAUUGCUGAGUACACAAUGCAGCAGCCAUCCUGCCUUUAUGCCCUCCUUCGCGUUUUCAUGUUCCUCUGCACUUAAUAAUAUCAAGCGAUAUCACACGGCACGUAUUUCAACAUUUCAAAUAUAUAAAAGUACACCUGGACUCAAAAGUACGGCGCUGCGUAGAGCGAAUGAUCGUCAGUCAAUCACCUAAGCAGCCUCCUUAUCUCUAAGGGCCGACGCGCAUUAUUUGCUCAGGCCGCUUGAAACAAAACUCGUAAUCUCCGCAUUGAUGAUCAGAUCCCCUUUUUUUAUAUAAGAAAAACUAUAUUUUACAUAAAUAGGAAUAACGGCGACAAACUAAUUGCGAAAAACAGGCAGUUUAUUCAAAUGAGAUUUUUACAUUAGGUGUGUAAACGAGUUUUACAAAAUAUCAUUCUAAUUUAUAUUCAAACAAAAUGAGUAAAUUCAUUUAUCUUGAUCAGAAAAAUUCUUGUUCUCGGUUUUUUUAUACACUCAAUUAAUUAUUUGUCACUCGCAAACAAAUAUUAUUGCAUUCAACAAGCUCAGACUUUCUGCUAAUUGACUUGGGAUAACAUUAGGAAAUUUGGUGGAACGUCAGAUCUUUCAGACUUGACAAAAACAAUCAACACAUACAAUCUUCAGAUCAAUUGCAAACACUUGCGAGCUAAAAUAAAUUACAGAGUAAAACUUAAAGAAUCUCUUUUUUUUUUUAAAUAAAAAGCAAAAGCUGUCUCACUGUCUUUGCUUUAGAAAGAAAGAAAAACACUUCCAGCGUAACAUUAUUAGGUGAUAAGUCUCAGUUUGCAAUUUUUUUUCUUUUCAUUUCAGGCACUGAUGUUGGGGUAAAGUUUCAAAACUCUUAAAAAUAUCACUCUUUUUGCAGAGACCUAUCCAUUCAUCAGCUCUCAGCAUCAAACCAAUAUUUACAAAUGCAUUCUCAUUAUUAUUGACAGGAGCUGCUGGGCUACAUGUCAGGGUGGUCAUCGUCAGGCGUGCCCUUCUGCAGGUGGGCGCUCUCACUGAGAGGGUCCGAGUUGGCCGGCGAGAUGGGCGACGUCUGCUGGUAGCCCGAGGAGGGCGAGUGCUGGUGCUGCAUGGCGGUGAACGUGGAAAAUUCGGCCGCGUUUGGCCACUGCCGGUUCAGCAAGUUGAAGGCCUGCGAGCUGUGCAUGAGUCCGGUUGGUGCCAAGGGGUAGCUACUUAGCAUCGAGGACGCCGCUGCCGCUGCCGCCACCGCUUUGCUGCUGCUUCUGCGGUAGUCUGCAAAAAUUCAAAGGAGUGGCUUACCUGCUGAGGAUGCAUCAAGUUUGGACUGGUCUGCGUGGUGCGAUUUGGAGGUGCUGCUGCUGGUCUUUGGUUUGCGUUUCCGGGUCUGAAAUCGGGAGCCGAAAAUUAGCGGACCGCCCAUGGCAGGUCUGUUGACGCCGUGCAGCUUGAAGUAGAGACCACAUGCAUUGCACACGGGAUCCCCGCUGGUGUUGCGUCGCCACAGGGAUGUACUGCUCGUUUGGCAAUUCGAACAACUCAGCCCUGUUCUCCGUGAAGCAGACUGCAAAAAUGACCAUGGUAUAUAAGAAAAACGGUAAAUGAAUCGGGAUUUCUUGAAGAAAAUUUAACAAAACAGUAAAAUGUACUUAUUUAACUGAAAAAAAUUGAUUUAGUGUGGUUGAAAAAAAUCAACUUCAAGGAAAUUAUUUAUUUACAAUAAUUAAAUUUUUUUUUUCAAAAUUUCAAAUCAUCAAACACCUUGUUAAAGUUUAAAAUAAUAAAUUGGAUCGUCGGAGGAAACGAAAUCCCAUUGAGAAAUCAAAAAAAUUUUAAGUAUUUUCUUCAAAUAAAAAUAUCAGCAAUGUAUAAAAUACUUUAAUACAGUUUGUACAAAUUUGUGAAAAUUGCAAUCUACAGAGCGGUUGGAAGGUUUCUAAUGCUGGAUUUGUGUUAUUAAAUAGAUGAGAAUGCAAGCAGAAAAAAAUCCUGCGUGUCUCAAGCUCAAGGCAGAAUAUUUUAUUAAUUAAUUAGAGUUAUGCAACGCGGAUUUUGAGUUAUUUCAGAAGCAAAGCAACAAAUAUUAUAACAAUACAUAUUAAAAUCUUGGAUCAAAGAUCAAACAGCAGAUGAAUUAAAGAUUUUUUUAAGCUUUU
This is a long non-coding RNA of Neocloeon triangulifer, 2406 nucleotides long. RefSeq lists it as uncharacterized. The record is from RefSeq and is a predicted model, not a curated record. NCBI's taxonomy places the organism in Eukaryota, Metazoa, Arthropoda, Insecta, Ephemeroptera, Baetidae. The transcript has 3 exons.